RNAcentral lists this ribosomal RNA (542 nucleotides) under uncultured bacterium. RNAcentral describes it as "bacterial SSU rRNA". It matches the Rfam family "Bacterial small subunit ribosomal RNA", at positions 355 to 887 of the family's 1533-position model. The record is from RNAcentral.
UGGGGAAUAUUGCGCAAUGGAGGCAACUCUGACGCAGCCAUGCCGCGUGUGUGAAGAAGGCCCUCGGGUUGUAAAGCACUUUCAAUUGGGAGAAAAAGCUUGUCGUUAAUAGCGGCAAGCCUUGAUGUUACCUUUAGAAGAAGCACCGGCUAACUCCGUGCCAGCAGCCGCGGUAAUACGGAGGGUGCGAGCGUUAAUCGGAAUUACUGGGCGUAAAGCGCGCGUAGGCGGUUGCUUAAGUCGGAUGUGAAAGCCCCGGGCUCAACCUGGGAACUGCAUUCGAUACUGGGCGACUAGAGUACGAGAGAGGGAGGUAGAAUUCCACGUGUAGCGGUGAAAUGCGUAGAUAUGUGGAGGAAUACCGGUGGCGAAGGCGGCCUCCUGGCUCGAUACUGACGCUGAGGUGCGAAAAGCGUGGGGAGCAAAACAGGAUUAGAUACCCUGGUAGUCCACGCCGUAAACGAUGUCUACUAGCCGUUGGGGUACUUGAGACCUUAAGUGGCGCAGCUAACGCACUAAGUAGACCGCCUGGGAGUACGGCC